AUGCGACAAAUGACGACCAUUUCGGUUGGCAUUGUUGUGCUUGCCACACUUGUUUUGGCAUCCGAGGGUCGCAUUGCCCGGAAGGACUUAGGCCUAAACCUUGGUGGUGUAGGCUUGGGGACCGAUACAGGUGUCAAUAUAGGGGGUAACAUUGGCAUAGGUGGUGCCGGCUCUGCAUCGGGGUCUGGUUCUGCGUCUGGAUCAGGGUCGGGAUCAGCCUCUGGUUCGGGGUCUGGCUCGGGGUCUGGUUCGGGCGCUGCAUCAUCAGCAGGUUCGGGUGCAGUUUCUGGUGGGGGGUCUUAUGCUGGGUCUGGUGCAGGCUCAGGCUCAGGUGGAGCCUCUGGCUCUAGUGCCGGCUCAGGCUCAGGUGGAGCCUCUGGUUCUGGUGCGGGUUCAAGCUCGGGUGGAGCUUCUGGCUCUGGCGCUGGUUCAGGUGCAGGCUCAGGUGGAGCCUCUGGCUCUGGUGCUGGUUCAGGCUCAGGUGGAGCCUAUGGUGGAGCUUCUGGCUCUGGUGUCGGUUCAGGCUCAGGUGGAGGCUCUGGUUCAGGUGCUGGUUCGGGAUCCGGUUAUGGUCAGGGGCAGGGAAAAGGCGAAGGCCGGGGCCAAGGGUCUGGAUAUGGCCAGGGUUCCGGCUCGGGCCAUGGACAAGGUUCAGGCUCUGGUUCGGGUUAUGGUGAGGGACAUGGUGAAGGUUAUGGACAAGGACAUGGUGCGGGAUCUGGAUAUGGUGAGGGCCAUGGCGAAGGUUAUGGUCAAGGUAGUGGUGUCGGGCAAGGAUCCGGAUACGGUGAGGGCCAUGGCGAAGGUUAUGGUCAAGGAAGUGGGGUCGGGCAAGGAUCUGGAUAUGGCGAAGGUCAUGGCCAAGGCUCUGGUUCAGGCUCUGGCUAUGGUGAAGGCUCUGGUAGUGGUUAUGGAAAUGGGGCCGGCUCGGGCUACGCUGAAGGUCAUGGAUAUGGGUAUGGAUCUGGACAUGGCAAAUGA
RNAcentral lists this ribosomal RNA (981 nucleotides) under Triticum aestivum (bread wheat). RNAcentral describes it as "partial small subunit ribosomal RNA". The record is from RNAcentral. Lineage: Eukaryota; Viridiplantae; Streptophyta; Magnoliopsida; Poales; Poaceae.